GAUGAACGCUGGCGGCGUGCCUAAUACAUGCAAGUCGAGCGAACAGACGAGGAGCUUGCUCCUCUGACGUUAGCGGCGGACGGGUGAGUAACACGUGGAUAACCUACCUAUAAGACUGGGAUAACUUCGGGAAACCGGAGCUAAUACCGGAUAAUAUAUUGAACCGCAUUGUUCAAUAGUGAAAGACGGUUUUGCUGUCACUUAUAGAUGGAUCCGCGCCGCAUUAGCUAGUUGGUAAGGUAACGGCUUACCAAGGCAACGAUGCGUAGCCGACCUGAGAGGGUGAUCGGCCACACUGGAACUGAGACACGGUCCAGACUCCUACGGGAGGCAGCAGUAGGGAAUCUUACGCAAUGGGCGAAAGCCUGACGGAGCAACGCCGAGUGAGUGAUGAAGGUCUUCGGAUCGUAAAACUCUGUUAUUAGGGAAGAACAAAUGUGUAAGUAACUAUGCACGUCUUGACGGUACCUAAUCAGAAAGCCACGGCUAACUACGUG
Molecule: ribosomal RNA, 497 nt
Filed under: uncultured bacterium
Lineage: Bacteria
Description: partial 16S ribosomal RNA
Rfam family: Bacterial small subunit ribosomal RNA
Source: RNAcentral